This is a long non-coding RNA of Salvia splendens (bonfire salvia), 506 nucleotides long. RefSeq lists it as uncharacterized. The transcript is spliced from 2 exons. NCBI's taxonomy places the organism in Eukaryota, Viridiplantae, Streptophyta, Magnoliopsida, Lamiales, Lamiaceae. The record is from RefSeq and is a predicted model, not a curated record.
AUGGUUGUGUGUGAAAUGAAUUCGGGUCUGAUUAGGGCCGCAAACCCUAUCAGGCUGUGUACAUUGGUGGGAUUGGGAGUCGUCCUUGCUAGUCGGCCGGUCUCGUGGGCGAAUAGUGUGGCCUCACUUUCGUUGCACUGUGGAAAGAUGACGUGAUUGUUGGAUUGUUGAGAAAAUGGGGAGAUUGUUUGCCUGCCCAGGCUAUGAAAUAUUUUUGUGUUCUCGAUGAUAUUUCUUAACUACAUAUAAAACUCGAGUUCACUGGUUGAGCGGGAUGUUGCAGCGGAUGGUUAGUGAGCUUUAGGAAUUUCCGGAUGCGUCGUGUCUUCAUACAUGGGCGUCAUCCCAUGACUCUCUUUGAUACUUGUUAUUCUGCUGCUGUGUUUGAAAUUAAUUUCUAGAAGUCUUCCGCACUAUUUAAUACUGUUUUAUUACAUUAAGUAUCUUGAGACUAAAAUCCGUUGCUUAACUUUUCAAUAAACUAAAAUAUUUCGUUUUGAAGUUAA